This 75-nucleotide transfer RNA is filed under the name Planctomycetota bacterium. RNAcentral's name for it is "Planctomycetes bacterium tRNA-Gly". It matches the Rfam family "tRNA". Rfam says of the family: Transfer RNA (tRNA) molecules are approximately 80 nucleotides in length. Their secondary structure includes four short double-helical elements and three loops (D, anti-codon, and T loops). Lineage: Bacteria; Pseudomonadati; Planctomycetota. The record is from RNAcentral.
GCGGCCGUAGCUCAGUGGUAGAGCUCUACCUUGCCAAGGUAGAUGUCGUGGGUUCAAAUCCCAUCGGCCGCUCCA